Molecule: ribosomal RNA, 1347 nt
Filed under: uncultured bacterium
Lineage: Bacteria
Description: bacterial SSU rRNA
Rfam family: Bacterial small subunit ribosomal RNA
Source: RNAcentral
GAUGAACGCUGGCGGCGUGCUUAACACAUGCAAGUCGAACGGAAAGGCCUUGUGCUUGCACAAGGUACUCGAGUGGCGAACGGGUGAGUAACACGUGGGUGAUCUGCCCUGCACUGUGGGAUAAGCCUGGGAAACUGGGUCUAAUACCAUAUAGGACCGCAUCGUAGAUGGUGUGGUGGAAAGCUUUUGCGGUGGGGGAUGAGCCUGCGGCCUAUCAGCUUGUUGGUGGGGUAAUGGCCUACCAAGGCGGCGACGGGUAUCCGGCCUGAGAGGGUGUACGGACACAUUGGGACUGAGAUACGGCCCAGACUCCUACGGGAGGCAGCAGUGGGGAAUAUUGCACAAUGGGCGCAAGCCUGAUGCAGCGACGCCGCGUGGGGGAUGAAGGCCUUCGGGUUGUAAACUCCUUUCGCUAUCGACGAAGCCAUUUUGUGGUGACGGUAGGUAGAUAAGAAGCACCGGCUAAUUACCUGCCUCCAGCCGCGGUAAUACGUACGGUGCAAGCGUUGUCUGGAAUUACUGGGCGUAAAGAGCUCGCAGGUGGUUUGUCGCGUCGUCUGUGAAUCCCGGGGCUUAACUUCGGGCGUGCAGGCGAUACGGGCAUAACUUGAGUGCUGUAGGGGAGACUGGAAUUCCUGGUGUAGCGGUGAAAUGCGCAGAUAUCAGGAGGAACACCGAUGGCGAAGGCAGGUCUCUGGGCAGUUACUGACGCUGAGGAGCGAAAGCAUGGGUAGCGAACAGGUUUAGAUACCCUGGUAGUCCAUGCCGUAAACGGUGGGCGCUAGGUGUAGGGGGCUUCCACGUCUUCUGUGCCGUAGCUAACGCAUUAAGCGCCCCGCCUGGGGAGUACGGCCGCAAGGCUAAAACUCAAAGGAAUUGGCGGGGGCCCGCACAAGCGGCGGAGCAUGUGGAUUAAUUCGAUGCAACGCGAAGAACCUUACCUGGGCUUGACAUAUACAGGAUCGCCGUAGAGAUACGGUUUCCCUUGUGGUCUGUAUACAGGUGGUGCAUGGUUGUCGUCAGCUCGUGUCGUGAGAUGUUGGGUUAAGUCCCGCAACGAGCGCAACCCUUGUCUUAUGUUGCCAGCACGUUAUGGUGGGAACUCAUGAGAGACUGCCGGGGUUAACUCGGAGGAAGGUGGGGAUGACGUCAAAUCAUCAUGCCCCUUAUGUCCAGGGCUUCACACAUGCUACAAUGGUCGAUACAGUGGGCAGCGACAUCGUAAGGUGGAGCGAAUCCCUGAAAGUCGGCCUUAGUUCGGAUUGGGGUCUGCAACUCGACCCCAUGAAGUCGGAGUCGCUAGUAAUCGCAGAUCAGCAAUGCUGCGGUGAAUACGUUCCCGGGCCU